AUGCACGCUGGCGGCGUGCCUCAUACAUGCAAGUCGAGCGAACAGACGAGGAGCUUGCUCCUCUAACGUUAGCGGCGGACGGGUGAGUAACACGUGGAUAACCUACCUAUAAGACUGGGAUAACUUCGGGAAACCGGAGCUAAUACCGGAUAAUAUAUUGAACCGCAUGGUUCAAUAGUGAAAGACGGUUUUGCUGUCACUUAUAGAUGGAUCCGCGCCGCAUUAGCUAGUUGGUAAGGUAACAGCUUACCAAGGCAACGAUGCGUAGCCGACCUGAGAGGGUGAUCGGCCACACUGGAACUGAGACACGGUCCAGACUCCUACGGGAGGCAGCAGUAGGGAAUCUUCCGCAAUGGGCGAAAGCCUGACGGAGCAACGCCGCGUGAGUGAUGAAGGUCUUCGGAUCGUAAAACUCUGUUAUUAGGGAAGAACAAAUGUGUAAGUAACUAUGCACGUCUUGACGGUACCUAAUCAGAAAGCCACGGCUAACUACGUG
RNAcentral lists this ribosomal RNA (496 nucleotides) under uncultured bacterium. Its description in RNAcentral is "partial 16S ribosomal RNA". It matches the Rfam family "Bacterial small subunit ribosomal RNA", at positions 29 to 507 of the family's 1533-position model. The record is from RNAcentral.